Molecule: long non-coding RNA, 358 nt
Organism: Xenia sp. Carnegie-2017
Lineage: Eukaryota; Metazoa; Cnidaria; Anthozoa; Malacalcyonacea; Xeniidae
Exons: 2
Source: RefSeq, a predicted model, not a curated record
AAAAUAUCAAUUGAGACUUGGAAAAUAUUCUGGUAAGUCAAUAGGCAAAUACAAACAAUUAAAGCACACAAAAUUCUAAAGGAACUGCUGGGGAUUCAUUAUCCGCCCAUAAAAACAAAGCGUUUACGACAAAAGAUUCAGAUAACGAUACAGAUGUUGUCGGAAACUGCGCUGUACAUGCUAAAGGUGCUUGGUGGUAUUAUUAUUGUUAUGAUUCCAACCUAAAUGGGUAUUAUUAUCAUGGCAAUUAUCAGCCUUCUGCAUCUUGGUACAAAGGUGUUGUUUGGAAAGAUUGGAAAGGAUUUUCGUAUUCUUUAAAAUUCACUGAAAUGAAAAUGAAACCAUCAGGAAAUUUUUA